This is a long non-coding RNA of Rhagoletis zephyria (snowberry fruit fly), 213 nucleotides long. RefSeq lists it as uncharacterized. The record is from RefSeq and is a predicted model, not a curated record. Lineage: Eukaryota; Metazoa; Arthropoda; Insecta; Diptera; Tephritidae.
UGUGGUAGAGGAAAGGGGCCUAUUUCAUAAAAGUGACAGGUGCGACAAUUGUCGAUUUUUCUAUAAAAUUUCACUGCCAGAAUUGUCGGCGACAUUUUUCCUGUUUCAUAUAUGUUUGUAGGCAACUGUGAAAAUUUUUGGAAAACGACAGUGAUAAUAUGGAAUAUUGUCGAUAAUUGUGCUGACAAUUGUCACUCUGACAAAAUUGUCGCG